This 27-nucleotide unclassified non-coding RNA is filed under the name Mus musculus (house mouse). RNAcentral describes it as "oocyte_clustered_small_RNA445". The record is from RNAcentral. Lineage: Eukaryota; Metazoa; Chordata; Mammalia; Rodentia; Muridae.
UAGAAGGAGGCACAAUCUGUCUUCCAA